AACCUGUUUCAUAAUCGAUAUUCCACGAUUUAUACUACUUGUUGUUUAAAUUUACAUAUCGCCGUAGUUUGAAUAUUUUAUUAAUUAAUGUUUUCAGGUCAAGGUGUAGUUAAUAAAUAAGUGAAAAUGGGUUACAUUGAAAACUUUAUGUAAAUUGGAUUUGAAAGUAAGCUCUAAAAUAUGCACAUAUCGCCCGUCGCUUUCAUUAUAAAAUGAAAUAAGUCGUAACAAAGUAAGCUUAUUGGAAAAUGAGCUUGGAAUUCGAGUUAAAGCUUAUAAAGUUUUUUGUUUACAUUAAAAAGGAAAUUGUGAAAUUCAAUUUAAUUCGAUUUUAUAAUGUUAUUAUUUUUUUAUUUUGACGUGAUUUAUUUAAAAUAUUAUUGAUUUUAUUAUUUGUAAGAAAAAAUUUUAUAAUAGUGUAUAGUACUGUAAGGGAAUUUUUUAAAAAUUUUAUAAGAAGGUUUUAAUUGCUGUACCUUGUGUAUCAGGGUUUAUUAAAUUAAUGAUCUCGAAUUUAAAAGAGUUAAUUUUAGUGUUGAAUAACUAUUUAAAAGUUUUAUUUAGUAAUGAAACGUUAUUCGUUUUUAAAUAUAUCUGGUUUUUUAAGAAAUGAAUUUAAUUCAGUAAUUAUUAAAACAGUAUUAUAAGGGAAAAGCUUUUGGUUAAAAUAUUUAAAAUGAGUUCAAUUUUGAUGAUUUAUAGGAUUAGAAGUUUUUAUUUUGUAUAUUAUGUUAUAAUUAAAUUUAAGUGUUUUAUUAAAAAUAUUAUUUUAAUAAUUAAAAUAAUGGUAUAAUGAUAAAAUUAGUAAGGUUUUAUUAAGGAAUUCGGCAAUAAAUUUUCACCUGUUUAAUAAAAACAUGGCUUUUUGAGAUUGAUUUAAAGUCUGGCCUGCCCAAUGAUUUAAUGGCCGCAGUAAUUUGACUGUGCAAAGGUAGCAUAAUCAUUAGUUUUUUAAUUGAAAGCUGGAAUGAAGGGUUUGAUGAGAAAAUUACUGUCUCUAGAAUUUUAUUUUUGAGUUAAAAAGCUUAAAUAAAUUAAAAAGACGAGAAGACCCUAUAGAUUUUUUUGGUUGGGGUGAUUUAAAAAU
Molecule: ribosomal RNA, 1087 nt
Filed under: Pristoderus chloreus
Lineage: Eukaryota; Metazoa; Arthropoda; Insecta; Coleoptera; Zopheridae
Description: partial 16S ribosomal RNA
Source: RNAcentral